RNAcentral lists this ribosomal RNA (253 nucleotides) under uncultured bacterium. RNAcentral's name for it is "partial 16S ribosomal RNA". It matches the Rfam family "Bacterial small subunit ribosomal RNA", at positions 524 to 776 of the family's 1533-position model. The record is from RNAcentral.
UACGUAGGGUGCGAGCGUUAAUCGGAAUUACUGGGCGUAAAGCGUGCGCAGGCGGUUUGUUAAGUCAGAUGUGAAAGCCCCGGGCUUAACCUGGGAACGGCAUUUGAAACUGGCAGGCUGGAGUACGGCAGAGGGGGGUGGAAUUCCACGUGUAGCAGUGAAAUGUGUAGAGAUGUGGAGGAACACCGAUGGCGAAGGCAGCCCCCUGGGCCGAUACUGACGCUCAGGCACGAAAGCGUGGGGAGCAAACAGG